This 25-nucleotide non-coding RNA is filed under the name Cricetulus griseus (Chinese hamster). The record is from RNAcentral. Lineage: Eukaryota; Metazoa; Chordata; Mammalia; Rodentia; Cricetidae.
GCUACCAUCUGUGGGAUUGUGACUG